UCUAAUGUGGCAGACUAGUGCAAUGAGUUUAAGCUUCAUAUAUAAAGUUAUCAUCUUUUAUUAGAA
RNAcentral lists this transfer RNA (66 nucleotides) under Zabrus castroi. RNAcentral's name for it is "tRNA-Leu". The record is from RNAcentral. Lineage: Eukaryota; Metazoa; Arthropoda; Insecta; Coleoptera; Carabidae. RNAcentral also lists the same sequence under 1 other name.